RNAcentral lists this ribosomal RNA (222 nucleotides) under Chrysotila carterae. RNAcentral's name for it is "partial Bacterial large subunit ribosomal RNA". It matches the Rfam family "Bacterial large subunit ribosomal RNA", at positions 1499 to 1719 of the family's 2925-position model. The record is from RNAcentral. Lineage: Eukaryota; Haptophyta; Isochrysidales; Isochrysidaceae.
UUGGAUUGUACGUCUAAGCAGUGAGAUUGAGUGUUAGGCAAAUCCGGCACUCUUAAGAUUGAGCUGUGAUGGGGAGAGGAAAUUGUUUCCUCGAGUCGUUGAUUUCACACUGCCGAGAAAAGCCUCUAGAUAGAGAUUAGGUGCCCGUACCGUAAACCGACACAGGUAGUCAAGAUGAGAAUUCUAAGGUGAGCGAGCGAACUCUCGUUAAGGAACUCGGCA